AUUCAAUCACAGCCUCAAGUUCAAAAGUGAAUUAAAACUCAAAGAAGCCUGGGGACAGGGACAAGGGUACUUCUGUCAUUCAUUCUCUUCCCCUGCUUCCUUGGGGACAAGGGUGGCCUGGAGGAACAAUAGUGUCCCCUGGCCCCUUCUUCCUGCAUUGGGUUAGAAAAGGCAGCAGAAAGCAGUGGGGAUGACAAAGACACACACACACACACACACACACACACACACACACCAGGCUUGAGAAGGGAGGAGGAGGAGGCGUCUCUGGCUGGAUGCACAGACUGUUAUUUUGGUGGUGGGCAUGGUCCCAGAUAGGGGCAGCGUCCCCCUUUUUCCUGGCUUUCCAGGGAGAGCAGCAAGAGAAAGAAAGAAGCAAACGAAAUUCCUGAAUGGAUAAGAGAUGCUACGUCAGCGGUACUGGAGCCGCAUCCUCCACUCCACGAGAAGAGAAGAGCUAGGAGAGACCAGCGGGCGGGCGGUAGCUGUGGCGAGUGGCCUCUCCGUGCGGCACAGAGGCAAGAAGCAGCCAUCCAUCCAGAAGCAGCCUCCGUGUUCCAUUUGUCCGGAUGUCAUCGUAGGUGGCCGGCAUCUCUGGCUUUGGGGCAGACAUCCAGAUCUGAUGAGGCAUGGCUGCCCCGGGAUUACUGGGCUCGGACGGGAGCAGUGGUAGGAAGGAUCCUAUGUAAGUCAUGUGAGACAUAGAAUGUUCAGAUCAACUGAAGCUGAAACAAGCCUUUGGCAUCAUAUAUAACCCAGAAAGGGACACAGCUGAUCCCAGAGGACUCAAGGCUAUGUCAAAGGUGCAGAAGAAUCGAGUUGGAAAGACCAGCAGGAGACAGUCAGAGUAAGGUUCCUUGAAUGCUUGGUUUAUGUGCCUGGCUGGAGGAGACACCCAUGGCCUUGCAGAGGGAGCGAUCUGGUGGGAAAGCAGACAAAACCCACCCCAGGCCCGUGGUUUCCCUGCAACAAGCCCAGUGGCUUUCUGGAGGACACUUUUCCUGGAGGAAGUGAUUCAAGCACAAGUUCUUGGUGGCCUCAUUUCACGGUCUCUUCCUGCUGAUCAG
Molecule: long non-coding RNA, 1067 nt
Filed under: Mus caroli (Ryukyu mouse)
Lineage: Eukaryota; Metazoa; Chordata; Mammalia; Rodentia; Muridae
Description: lncRNA (MGP_CAROLIEiJ_G0005670.1)
Source: RNAcentral